This 3638-nucleotide ribosomal RNA is filed under the name Triticum aestivum (bread wheat). RNAcentral's name for it is "partial small subunit ribosomal RNA". The record is from RNAcentral. Lineage: Eukaryota; Viridiplantae; Streptophyta; Magnoliopsida; Poales; Poaceae.
GCCGAACCCAUCUGCGCCGGUCAGCUAGCAGCCACAGAGAGUGGUAUGUGAGCAGAGCACGUCACGUUUCCUAAUCCUCGCUACUAGUACGCGCGUGGCCCGGUCCGGCCGGCGGCCCCGACGUCGCGCCGCCAGAGUCUUUCUCUGACUGUUUGGCGCGUGAGCGAGCGAGCAGGGAAGUCUUUCUCUGCUGUCCCCGGCGGCGUGGGGUGCCUGGUCUUUGGUUGUGCUAGCUAACUCGUUAGAGCCUAGAUGCCGCCGGCCGCCGCGCCGUGGUCGUGGGCGUGCUGCGGCCGCAGGAGGAAGAGCGCCGGGGGCGGCGCGGGGGACGGCGACGGCGCCGGCGCGUCGGGGCGGGACGGUGACCAGUGGACGCUCUUCAUCGACCUGCCCGUGCUGGAGGCCGCCACCGCCGGCUUCUCCGACGGCAACCUCCUCGGCCGCGGCGGCUUCGGCCCCGUCUACAAGGGCGUGAUGGAGGGCGGGCAGGAGAUCGCGGUGAAGCGGCUGUCGCUGGAGUCGCGGCAGGGGGUGCGGGAGUUCCUCAACGAGGUGCGGCUGCUGCUCAAGGUGCAGCACCGCAACCUGGUCUCCCUCCUCGGCUGCUGCGCCGCCGCCGGCCAAAAGAUGCUCGUCUACCCAUACUUCCCCAACGGCAGCCUCGACCACAUCCUCUUCGGUCAGUCACCCCCGAUCCCCAUUUAUCCAGCCUCUGCUUAUACAUCUUCAAACUUCAGAAUUCGGUUUGUUUUUUACUCAAAUCGCGCGCCAAAACUUGGGUGGGUUUCAUGCUAUUUCGGCUGAAAACUUCAGCUCUCUGUGUCCAAUCUGAAAAUCAAAAUCACGGAACGAUUUCAGUAAAUUCAGUGGUGCCUGGAAUUUCAGUCAAAAAAUGACAAUUGAAUUUUCGUGUCAACAGCAGUUUGGUCAGACAGAGCAUUCAGUCUGUUACAAGUCUUGAGUUGAUGUCAGGUAGUACUAGUAAUAAAGUUGGCCUUUGCGUGCUCAUAUAGCAGCUGGUUCCAAGUAUUAUCAUUGACCUUGACUGAAUCAGAAGCAGAGUCCUGAUUUCUUAACCCGGAAGGUUCAAAUGUCACAUCCACACCAGACCAGUUCUUGAUUAGGAUUUAUUCUUGUCAGCAAGCAAACCAGGUGCAGUUGUGUAUAUACAUAAAGAUGCCAAAUUACAGCAAAGAAUUGGUGCGAUUUGAUUUAAAACGGAGUAUGCCUCUUGAGUCUACUGCAUGAAAGGAUCUCAAACACUAAGCUAUCUGAGUUUAUACAAGUGAAACAUGAGAAAAACAUAGAAUUGGCAAAAUUAUUUUGCAGUGUUUGUCAGGUAUCUCAAAAGAAUGAGCUUGUCUGAGUUCACUCUGCUCUGCAAAAUCAUAAAUAAAAAUUACAGCUGCAUAACAAUCAAUUCCUGCAAAGUAGAUCAGUAUACAGCACACGAAAGAACUUUUGGAGUUCGGUAUGAGCACAAUUUUAAGCUUUAACAUAAGCAGUCUGAAUUUUUAUAUAAGCAGCAUGUGCCAGCAAAUUACAGUUUCCUAACAAUCGAUUCCUGCAAACUACUAGAUCAGUAUACAGAGCAUAGAAGAGCUGCUCUGUUAUCUGAACCUGCACUGCAUCGCAUACUUUCAGACAGGGAGAAGAGGGUGCAGCUAGACUGGCCAAAACGGUACCAAAUUAUCCUCGGACUAGCGAGGGGCCUCCUGUACCUCCACGAAGAGUCUCCGGUGAAGAUCAUCCACAGGGACAUCAAGGCGAGCAACGUGCUCCUCGACGACAAGCUGAACCCCAAGAUCUCGGAUUUCGGCAUGGCGAGGCUCUUCCUCGAAGACGCGACGCACGUAAACACGUUCAGGAUCUCUGGCACAUAUGGUUAUAUGGCCCCGGAGUACGCGAUGAACGGGUACCUGUCGACCAAGACCGACGUUUUCAGCUUCGGGAUGCUCGUGCUGGAGAUCGUCAGCGGGAGGAAGAACAUCGACCGGCAUCUCGGCGACGAGAAAGUCGACCUGUUGAACUACACAUGGAAGCUGUCAGAGGAAGGCCGGCCACUGGACAUCGUGGACCCGGGCCUGUCCGGCUGGGACGCCGGCGAGGUGGCCAUGUGCGUCCAGCUCGGGCUGCUGUGCUGCCAGGCCGUCGUGUCGGACCGGCCGGACAUGUACAGCGUGCACCUCAUGCUGUCCAGCGACUCCUUCACGCUGCCCAAGCCCGGGAAGCCGGCGGUGCACGGCCGGGUCGGCCGGUGGAAGAGCACCACCGGCUCGGCCUCCAGCUCCGCCUCCGGCGCGAACACGAACACCACGUUCGCCACCGACACGACCAAGGCCUCGACGCUGGGAAACAUCGCUGAAGAUGAAUCCAGGAACUCCAUUUCCAUAUCCUUCACCACUGAAGGCCGGUAAAAAAUGGUACUCUAGUAAGAAAUCAGACGGUGUAGUGAUGGCGCGACCGUGCGAGUGGAUAAUGCACUCUAGAUCUAGUACAGGAGGCAGUGAUGGUUCCAGAAGCAUCCGGUCCAGUUUUCUUUUACCGUUUUUACUAGCUUUUCCAUUUUCUCCUGUUUUAAAUAUGUUCAGAAAUUUCAGGGUUUAUUUGGAAAUCAGAAAAUGUUAGGAAAUUUCAAAUCUUAUUUGGAAUAUUUUUUAGAAUGAUUCUUUUUGCAAAAUGGAGAACUUUUGAAAGUUUCAACAUUGGUUCGGGAUUUUUGAAAUUUGCUUGGUAAUUUCAAAUUUGGUUCAGAAUUUGUAAAAAAUUAUUAGAGAUUUCAAAAACAAAACAGAAAUAAAAAGUAUUUGGAACUUUAAUACUGUUAAAAAUUAAUUUUGACGGGAUUUUUAGAAAUCUAUUUGAAAAAAACACACUACAGUUAUUUUUUGAGCAAAAACACACUAUAUUACAUCUCACUACAGUGCCACAUGCCACUAUAGUUUUUUAAUGGGCUAGCCUAGUUAGGGGUGCCCUGUGCAAAAUGCUUCCUAUUUGACGUGUUAUAUCUUUGUAUUCCGAUGAUCAUUAAUUAAUAAACCUAGUGGAAUAUGAUCCAAAAAAUUGAUGCACUAUACGUCAAAUAAGCAAUCCCGCAAGUCCUGGCAUGACAAAGCACCACAUACACCUAUUAGUGGGCCAUUUUCCGAUGGACCUCGAUUGGGUGGACAUCGUUGUGCCCUGCCCAUGGUUGAGGUAAUUUCUAGCGUUUAACACAUCUUAUAUGAGCUACAAGGCCCACUCCAAUUAGUCAAAACUAAUAGGCUAGCGACAUUCCAUAGUUUAGUACCGGAAUUCCGCAAUCAUUGCCCCCCAGUAGUGUGUGAUUCCUAUUCGUCACCAACAAGGAGAAAUUACAACAAAUCGCAGAAAAUCUAGCGACUUUACCUGCGCCACUACAACUGACCAUUUUUUAUUUCUUUUGUCACGUGUGUGGUAUUAUACUAGCUUUUCUGGUGUUUUUCCCUGGAUUUUCAUUUUUUUUUUCCACCUUCUUUCUUUGUAUUUUCAUUUCUUGGGUUUUAUUUUCCUUUAAACAAUGUUCAUGAUUUUCUAACAAAGUUCUCAAAAACUAAUAAAAGUUCACAAAUUUUAAAAAUAGCUACUUACGAAAUUUUAAGAAAAACAAUUCUCAAAUA